This 253-nucleotide ribosomal RNA is filed under the name uncultured bacterium. Its description in RNAcentral is "partial 16S ribosomal RNA". It matches the Rfam family "Bacterial small subunit ribosomal RNA", at positions 524 to 776 of the family's 1533-position model. The record is from RNAcentral.
UACGUAGGGGGCAAGCGUUGUCCGGAAUCAUUGGGCGUAAAGCGCGUGUAGGCGGCCUUGUAAGUCCGUUCUGAAAGCCCGGGGCUCAACCCCGGGAGGCGGAUGGAUACUGCAAGGCUCGAGUACGGAAGAGGCGAGUGGAAUUCCCGGUGUAGCGGUGAAAUGCGCAGAUAUCGGGAGGAACACCAAUGGCGAAGGCAGCGCGCUGGGACGUUACUGACGCUGAGACGCGAAAGCGUGGGGAGCAAACAGG